RNAcentral lists this ribosomal RNA (428 nucleotides) under uncultured bacterium. RNAcentral describes it as "bacterial SSU rRNA". It matches the Rfam family "Bacterial small subunit ribosomal RNA", at positions 354 to 796 of the family's 1533-position model. The record is from RNAcentral.
GUGGGGGAUAUUGCACAAUGGGGGAAACCCUGAUGCAGCGACGCCGCGUAAGGGAAGAAGGCCUUCGGGUUGUAAACCUUUGUUUUCGGUGACGAAAGAAAUGACGGUAGCCGAAGAGGAAGCUCCGGCUAACUACGUGCCAGCAGCCGCGGUAAUACGUAGGGAGCGAGCGUUGUCCGGAAUUACUGGGUGUAAAGGGUGCGUAGGCGGGGCUGCAAGUUGGAUGUGAAAUACCGGGGCUUAACCCCGGGGCUGCAUCCAAAACUGUAGCUCUUGAGUGAAGUAGAGGCAGGCGGAAUUCCGAGUGUAGCGGUGAAAUGCGUAGAUAUUCGGAGGAACACCAGUGGCGAAGGCGGCCUGCUGGGCUUUUACUGACGCUGAGGCACGAAAGCAUGGGGAGCAAACAGGAUUAGAAACCCUAGUAGUCC